CUCGUGUUUCCCCUUUUCAACCUCCAUAAAAUCCCAUCAUUCCCCUUCUCAUUUCUCUCACUCCCACACUUUCUUACAACAACCACCAUUUCAAUCUCUCUCUCAAAAUUCUCCCAAAUUUUCCAUCCUCCCCAAAGGUGUGUGGUCAGAUUCAGAUUGGUCGCAUGCAUGGACCAACCAAGCCAACCGCCAUGGCCGUCGUCUCUUCUUCACGAAAUCAAGAAAUUAACACCAACAAUUUCCGGUGGGUUAGUUUUCAUUAUUGGCAUCUCCUUUUGGGAGAUAUAGUCACUGAUUCUUACUAGCCAUGGCGCUAUCCUAACUGAGCUUUUUCCUAUUUUUCGUUCUUCAACGUUCUUUCUUAUUUAUUUUUUUUUUUUUUAGUUUUGAAAUGGAGUCUUCUUGACCUUGUAAGACCUUUUCUUGACCUUGUAAGACCCAACACCGUAGCCUUUCCCUUUACCAUCCAUUUGAUUUCAUACUCUAUAUUGGGAAAUACCCAUAUGGAGUUUGAGUACAAUCUAUCCCUAUUUCCACCCAACUCAUCUUCUCCUUCCUUGUCUAUCCCUCUUGAGCUGCAUUUUAUCAAUUAAUUACCUGGGCCGUUUUCAUAUAUAGCAAAAUGGCCAACUUAUUUAUAAUUUUUGUAAAAUGGCAAAAAAUUUCCUCAUCUUUUAAUAAUAAUAAUAAAUUUAAUUAAGUCCCACCACGCCGGCCGAAGAAGGUUGAAGAAGACGAAGAAGAGCAAGCAAAGUGCAGGGCGAUUGAGUGAAGAAGAAGAUUUGUUCUCUUUUGGCUGUGGGGACUUGGAGUUUUUUUUUUAUACAUUUUUAUUUAAUUUUUGUAAAAAUAAAAAAGGGGAAAAAAAGAGGUAUUAUUAUUAUUAUUAUUUAGUAAUUGUUUGUAAGUUUUAAAUUCCGUUGAAAAGAAAAAAAGAAUGAAAUUGAAAUGUAGUGCACAGAAAUAUGGUGUGAGCAGGAAGUAUCAGAUCAGUUUUUUGGUUUGGUUUU
Molecule: long non-coding RNA, 1010 nt
Organism: Benincasa hispida (wax gourd)
Lineage: Eukaryota; Viridiplantae; Streptophyta; Magnoliopsida; Cucurbitales; Cucurbitaceae
Source: RefSeq, a predicted model, not a curated record